Molecule: long non-coding RNA, 2682 nt
Organism: Scleropages formosus (Asian bonytongue)
Lineage: Eukaryota; Metazoa; Chordata; Actinopteri; Osteoglossiformes; Osteoglossidae
Exons: 4
Source: RefSeq, a predicted model, not a curated record
GUGCCGUGAGGUCGGGGUUUGAAAAUGGUACAAACAUUCUGAUAGACCUUUCGUGUGAAGUUGCUGCAUAGUUGUGUGAGCCGAAAAUCUUCUCUUAUUAACCACCACGAGCUGCAGUAUGGGGCCCUGAACUGAGGACAGGAGACGUGCCAUAGAUACUGCAGUCAAAGAAGAGAAGAGGAACACAGUGUGAAAAACUAGAGUUAAUGCUCGAGGUGGGAGUUGGAUUGCACAUCGGGAAUCGGCACCAGCGUUCCAGACAGCCGUUUCCACAGUUCUCCACCUUGCAAGGUGGCCCAGUUCAGGUGAGCUUGCAGCACACCAUAUGCCUUUCUGAGGCACCAGGCAGUUAUUUUUGGAUCGAAGUGGAGGGCCUGCUGUCCCCCAGCAUGCUUCCAAAGUCAUCUGCCAGAAGUCAUCUAUUUAUACUGCUCUACAUUUAAAGGCAAAUGGCGUCAAAACCCUUUAGAGGAUUGUCUGGGCUUGAGCUGGGGGUGGGUGGGAGAGCGCUGCUUUGCCAAAUCAAAGUUUGACCAUUGUGGAGAUUGUGAUGAGCAACAGUUGAGACACACAGUGAAGUUACAGUGCAGUACAAAAUUACAUUUUUCUCUCCGGUUCUUAUGUAUAUCUUUUUUUUUUUUCCUGUUUAACAAAUUACUUUAUUAAAGCUGUAUGUCUUUAAGGUCACUACUUUUGCUCAUUGAUUUGAGGUUAUAGUUAUUAACACUUCUGUUCAUAUUAUCCAGUCUUGUUUUAAAACUUUCAUUUGGAGCUGCAACUACAUUGUAAUAGAAUAGUUUGCUUUGUAGAGGUUGGAAUAAGCUCUGAGGGUGACGGGAGUACAUGCAAAAGCAGCGACCACACAAUUAGAGCAGCGCUAUGCUGCAACCCUGUUUCUGUUGAACAACAUGAAACAGUGACGGGGAAAGAGGGCCCUGCUCUCCUCCAGCUGCCCGAAUCGCAUUUCUGAAAGCUGUUUGAAGGGAAACCGACUUGGGACGCGAUUUCGAAAUGAUUUACGUCUAUCUCAGGGUGACCAGACGAGUUGGAAGAGUGACGCCGCCCUUCAUAUGGAUGGAACGUGGGAAAAAGAAAGGCAGAAUGAGAGAUGGAAGUCUGGCUGCUGUUCAAAACGCAUUUUUGAAUCCUGCGAGUGGCAAAUCAGCGAUAUUUUUACAUGGGCAGAGCCUUCACGGAAACCCUUUGAAGGAUGCCCGGCUCACUGCUGUCUAUUCCAGUGCCCUUCAUCCAGCUGGCUCCAGAGCACGGCCAGCUUUGGAAAGACGGCGCUGGAGACGCCCAGGCCAAGUUAGCGAACGGCUAAUCCGUCCGCGUCGCGCAGGACGGCAAAUGCAUAAUGCGAGCUUCCCCAAGCAAAAGCACUUGUGACGUACAGCGGCGGCUCUCGAGGUGUGCAUGUGGACCCGCUUAUUCUCUCCAGAUGGCCCCAGAGCUGUGUCAGCCUUAUAAAUGCGUAACAAAAAUAAAAUAGCUUCACUGCUAUGGAACAUUAACCCAUAUGUCCGUUGGAAUUUUUGUUUAUGUUUGGGGAUUGUUACUUUAUUAAUUUUAUUUUCUACUUGAGUUCCUCAGUAUAAAGGCAAAAGCAGGUCCUUGUAGCAAAUGGUAGAAUUAAUUGCUCGUUUAGUGAUUAUUUUGGAGGGAAAUGAAGAUUUUUUUUUUUUAAAUUUAUUUUACUUUUUCUUUCUUGUUUUGGUAAGUCCAGAAACCCAGAUGUGCAGCCCAAAAGCCUUUGACUGCCGCUCUUUCCCUUAAAAGCUCGUUCCAUGACACGCCUUUAUCUCUCGGACCCCCAUAGAUCACCGCUUUCAUCUGGCUGAGACCUCGAGUUCCCUGUGUGUUCCCUCUCCAACGUCUCCGAGAUGCCGUUCACCCUGACACAGUGUGGAAACUAUUUUCAGGGCCCGCUUCAUUCAAAACAGUUCUUUUCCAAUUCAUUAGUCGAAGCUGCAGGAGAAGUCUGAGUCCAAUGUGGUGUUCUGUGACGCUGCUCUACAACUCGGCUACAAAAAUAACGGUCUGAUUUGUCUUAAGUGCACGCUGUUUAGGCACCAGAGCAUGCAUAUAGCAUGUAUAUAGUUUUUUCUUCUUUUCACAACAUGGUUUGUAGGACCUUACUGCUUGGGUCAUUUCUUGGCUUGUAAUAAGACAUUUUUGUAAGAAAAUAUUUUUUUUAAUGCAAAGUGUAGGCAGAGCAUUAGUGUCAAGUGCUUGUGAAAACUUGAACGUAAUUGUGAAAUGAGUGGCGGCACUAUUAUCCGCAGCACUCAGUCAGCGAUGUGUUAUUCUGCUCGGGGCUGUGGAAGCCCGUCUCCCCAGCGAGUAUUUAGUCUUCAGUUUGCAUUUGAAAAUUCAGAGUGAUUCUGCAGCUCUUGCAGACCUCAGAAGCUUGUUGAACCCCAGCGGAGCCUGCUGGAGCUACCCUGCAACAUGGGGGGGGGGGGCUGCCCAGGCCUUAGGUUCAGCUGCUAUUCAUCUAACACAGAAGGUUGCACUGAGCUUGUCUGGGUUAAGUGCUCUGAGGUCGUGGGGUUUGAAGAUUGAUAUGAGGCAUUCCAGCACUUUCAGAAGUUGCAGAACACGGAUUAAGAGUUUCGGCCAGGAUCCCUUGCAAGAUGCAUUAAACCAGCCCAUUAGUCUCCUCAGAGAUAUACACACACA